This 480-nucleotide ribosomal RNA is filed under the name uncultured bacterium. RNAcentral describes it as "partial 16S ribosomal RNA". It matches the Rfam family "Bacterial small subunit ribosomal RNA", at positions 28 to 507 of the family's 1533-position model. The record is from RNAcentral.
GACGAACGCUGGCGGCGUGCUUAACACAUGCCAGUCGAACGAUGAAGCAAAGAAUUGAAGCUUCGGCAGAAAUUCAUUUCGGAUUAGUGGCAGACGGGUGAGUAACGCGUGAGCAACCUACCUCUUACAAAGGGAUAGCCUCGGGAAACCGGGAUUAAUACCAUAUAACAUUGCGACGAAGCAUUUCGAUGCAAUCAAAGCUACGGCGGUAAGAGAUGGGCUCGCGUCCCAUUAACCAGAUGGUGAGGUAACGGCUCACCAUAGUAACGAUGGGUAACCGGCCUGAGAGGGUGAACGGUCACACUGGAACUGAGACACGGUCCAGACUCCUACGGGAGGCAGCAGUGGGGAAUAUUGCACAAUGGAGGGAACUCUGAUGCAGCGACGCCGCGUGAGUGAUGAAGGAAUUCGUUUCGUAAAACUCUGUUCUAUGGGAAGAAAAGGACUGUACCAUAGGAGAAAGCGCCGGCUAAAUACGUG